UGGGGGAUAUUGCACAAUGGGGGGAACCCUGAUGCAGCGACGCCGCGUGAGUGAAGAAGUAUUUCGGUAUGUAAAGCUCUAUCAGCAGGGAAGAAGAUGACGGUACCUGACUAAGAAGCCCCGGCUAACUACGUGCCAGCAGCCGCGGUAAUACGUAGGGGGCAAGCGUUAUCCGGAAUUACUGGGUGUAAAGGGAGCGCAGGCGGUGCGGCAAGUCUGAAGUGAAACCCCUAGGCUCAACCAAGGGAUUGCUUUGGAAACUGUCGGACUAGAGUGUGGGAGAGGCAGGCGGAAUUCCUAGUGUAGCGGUGAAAUGCGUAGAUAUUAGGAGGAACACCAGUGGCGAAGGCGGCCUGCUGGACCAAGACUGACGCUGAGGCUCGAAAGCGUGGGGAGCAAACAGG
RNAcentral lists this ribosomal RNA (404 nucleotides) under uncultured bacterium. RNAcentral's name for it is "bacterial SSU rRNA". It matches the Rfam family "Bacterial small subunit ribosomal RNA", at positions 355 to 776 of the family's 1533-position model. The record is from RNAcentral.